This 67-nucleotide transfer RNA is filed under the name Monodelphis domestica (gray short-tailed opossum). It matches the Rfam family "tRNA", at positions 8 to 63 of the family's 71-position model. From Rfam's summary of the family: Transfer RNA (tRNA) molecules are approximately 80 nucleotides in length. Their secondary structure includes four short double-helical elements and three loops (D, anti-codon, and T loops). Further hydrogen bonds mediate the characteristic L-shaped molecular structure. tRNAs have two regions of fundamental functional importance: the anti-codon, which is responsible for specific mRNA codon recognition, and the 3' end, to which the tRNAs corresponding amino acid is attached (by aminoacyl-tRNA synthetases). tRNAs cope with the degeneracy of the genetic code in two manners: having more than one tRNA (with a specific anti-codon) for a particular amino acid; and 'wobble' base-pairing, i.e. permitting non-standard base-pairing at the 3rd anti-codon position. Lineage: Eukaryota; Metazoa; Chordata; Mammalia; Didelphimorphia; Didelphidae. The record is from Rfam by way of RNAcentral.
UGGCCAAAUGGUCUAAGGUGCUAGAUUUAGACUCUAAUCACUUCAAUGGUGUGGGUUUGAAUCCCAC